Molecule: ribosomal RNA, 253 nt
Filed under: uncultured bacterium
Lineage: Bacteria
Description: partial 16S ribosomal RNA
Rfam family: Bacterial small subunit ribosomal RNA
Source: RNAcentral
UACGUAGGGAGCGAGCGUUGUCCGGAAUUACUGGGCGUAAAGGGCGCGUAGGCGGCGAUGCAAGUCGCAUGUGAAAUCCCCAGGCUUAACUUGGGGGGUGCAUACGAAACUGCAUGGCUUGAGUAUGGCAGAGGAAAGUGGAAUUCCUAGUGUAGCGGUGAAAUGCGUAGAUAUUAGGAGGAACACCAGUGGCGAAGGCGACUUUCUGGGCCACAACUGACGCUGAGGCGCGAAAGCGUGGGGAGCAAACAGG